This 794-nucleotide ribosomal RNA is filed under the name uncultured bacterium. Its description in RNAcentral is "bacterial SSU rRNA". It matches the Rfam family "Bacterial small subunit ribosomal RNA", at positions 8 to 810 of the family's 1533-position model. The record is from RNAcentral.
AGAGUUUGAUCAUGGCUCAGGACGAACGCUGGCGGCGUGCCUAACACAUGCAAGUCGAACGCCCUUUCCGCGAGGGGAGGGAGUGGCGGACGGGUGAGGAACACGUGGGUAACCUGCCCUGCAGUGGGGGAUACCGGUGCGAAAGCGCCGACAAUCCCGCAUGCGCUCUGGGAGCGGGAGCGAGCAGAGGAAAGCUUGAGGCUGGAGGGCCUUGGGCGCUGCAGGAGGGGCCUGCGUCCGAUUAGCUAGUUGGUGGGGGAAGGGCCCACCAAGGCGAGGACGGGUCGCUGGUCUGAGAGGACGGCCAGCCAGACGGGGACUGGGACACGGCCCCGACUCCUACGGGAGGCAGCAGUGGGGGAUCUUGGACAAUGGCCGCAAGGCUGAUCCAGCGACGCCGCGUGGGGGACGAAGGGCUUCGGCCUGUAAACCCCUGUUGGCGGGGACGAGGCAGGACGGUACCCGCCGAGGAAGCCCCGGCUAACUCCGUGCCAGCAGCCGCGGUAAGACGGAGGGGGCGAGCGUUGUCCGGAUUUACUGGGCGUAAAGGGCGUGUAGGCGGCGCGCUUGGUUGCCGGUGAAAGCCCCCGGCUCAACCGGGGAGGGUCCGGCAAGACGGGCGCGCUCGAGGCCGGCAGAGGCAGGUGGAAUUCCCGGUGGAGCGGUGAAAUGCGUAGAGAUCGGGAGGAACACCGGUGGCGAAGGCGGCCUGCUGGGCCGGGCCUGACGCUGAGGCGCGAAAGCGUGGGGAGCGAACCGGAUUAGAUACCCUGGUAGUCAAGGGCGAAUUCGUU